Beta vulgaris subsp. vulgaris (sugar beet) is the source of this 1626-nucleotide long non-coding RNA. RefSeq lists it as uncharacterized. Lineage: Eukaryota; Viridiplantae; Streptophyta; Magnoliopsida; Caryophyllales; Amaranthaceae. The record is from RefSeq and is a predicted model, not a curated record. The transcript is spliced from 5 exons.
CUAUCAGUUAUCAAUCCUAAAUUCCUAAUUACCAAGUCGCCUCCCCCUCCCAAAGUCCCAAGUGUCGUCCCUCCCUCCCUCCCUCCCUCCUCCCUCCCUCUGCCGGAUUUCAAUUGGAACUCCCUUCGCACAAGUCACUGGCCGCUGUUCGAAGUCUGCCACAGUUCGAAAUCCCUGGCCGCAGUUCAAUCGAUUUUAGACAAUUCCGGUGAAAAAUUGUUUGCUCAGGUUCAAUCGAGUUCGAAGUCUUCCGCCGUUGCUGCUUCCACCACAUUUCACCGCCGUUGCUGCUUCCACCACAGUUAACCGAAGUCAAUCGUACAGUUGAUCCCUUAGGCAGUGGCGUGAGAAGAUAUUAAGUUUGGAUUAAUGACUAAGGAUUCUGGCAGUGGUGGUGGUUCUGGAACUCCUAGGCUCAGACCCCGUAAGCAGUCUAAUGAGAUACCUGCUGAGAUCACUAAACAAAAUGGGGGCAGUUUACUUGUUAAUGAUCAUAACAAGUACAAAUCUGUGUGGAUCCGCACGCAUUCUAGCUUUGGAUGAUUGGGGUUUUGUCUUCAUCAUCUACAUGGGUCAUCUUUAUAUUUGUGCCAUGGUGGUUGUGAUUCAAAUUCUGAUGGCAAAGGAACUGUUCAAUCGAUCUAUUACGGAAGGUUCGAGAAGAUUGAGAUCUUCCUGGUUUUCGGCUAUUAAAUUGGAUUGAGAUGGCUAUAAUCUUUCGCAGACGCAGAAGUCGGUCAAGCUCCCCCAUCGUCGUAAAAGUCAUUCACCUAUAAGGCGUCGUAAGAGCUUUCUCCAACAACACGGCAUUACAGGACAAAGAAAAGUAGAAGUUCGUCUCGCUCUCCUCCAAGUAAGUCCCGCAGUCCAAGUGUUGCAUCAGCUGAGCGCAAGGAAGCCAAAAAGAAACAGAAAAAGGAAGAAGAAAAGAAAAGGGAUUCCGCACAAGCUGGUGAUUUAUUUGUCAUCUGAUUCUUUUUGAAGUCUGGGUUAGUGUAUCAGAAAAGAAAUCACUCAUUUUUUUCUUCAUAUUGUUGUAAAUAUUCUCUGUUUCUACAUCUAUUUGCUUGUACUUUCAGUCUGUUGGCUUUUGGUUUUGCCUUCGUGUAAAUUCUGCUUCCUUCCUUCAUGUCUUUGCUUUCGUGUUGGACCUUUCUGUGUAGCUAUCUGUCUGGUUAGCAGCAGACUUCUUCCAUAUCUUAUGAGCUGAUUCUCACAUGUGCUUCUCUUGGAUUUAUAAUUAUAAAUAUGCUACAGGGUACUUGAACUCUGGUGAACCUGUUACGCAAGUGAAUGACAGAAAAUGAUUGGAACGAUGACAGACCUAAGCUAGCUAUACUUAAUUGUUUUGUUAAUGUAAACAUUGUAAACCAAUGACACAUAUAUUUUAUUGUAUUUAUUAAGUUCUGGAAUGCUUCUCAUGUUUCUUUAUCCCAUGUGCUGAAUGGAGCAUAGGGAAGAAGAGGGGAAGAAUUUGAGACAUGCGUAAAAAUUGGAGCUAUGCUUUAUUGUUUUGUUGAUGUAAACCAAUAAAUCAUAGAUUUUGUUACAGUUGAUACAUUUCUUGGCUGCUCAUGUAUUCAGUUGUGAUUUUUUUGCUCCUAUUACAAGAUGGAAUUUUUGUUU